RNAcentral lists this ribosomal RNA (491 nucleotides) under uncultured bacterium. RNAcentral describes it as "partial 16S ribosomal RNA". It matches the Rfam family "Bacterial small subunit ribosomal RNA", at positions 29 to 507 of the family's 1533-position model. The record is from RNAcentral.
GUGAACGCUGGCGGUAGGCCUAACACAUGCAAGUCGAACGGCAGCACAGUAAGAGCUUGCUCUUACGGGUGGCGAGUGGCGGACGGGUGAGGAAUACAUCGGAAUCUACUUUUUCGUGGGGGAUAACGUAGGGAAACUUACGCUAAUACCGCAUACGACCUACGGGUGAAAGCAGGGGAUCUUCGGACCUUGCGCGAUUGAAUGAGCCGAUGUCGGAUUAGCUAGUUGGCGGGGUAAAGGCCCACCAAGGCGACGAUCCGUAGCUGGUCUGAGAGGAUGAUCAGCCAAACUGGAAAUGAGACACGGUCCAGACUCCUACGGGAGGCAGCAGUGGGGAAUAUUGGACAAUGGGCGCAAGCCUGAUCCAGCCAUACCGCGUGGGUGAAGAAGGCCUUCGGGUUGUAAAGCCCUUUUGUUGGGAAAGAAAAGCAGCAGGUUAAUACCCCGCUGUUCUGACGGUACCCAAAGAAUAAGCACCGGCUAACUUCGUG